UUGUUGAUCUCACAAAAAAACUCAUUCAUUCCUUCAAUUCAAAGGAUUACAUCACGUUGAGUGAUAUCAUUUGUGCCAGAUUGACAAUAUUAAAUGCUAGAAGAGCAAAUAAUAUUAUUUGACAAUAAUAUUAGAAUGUAUUUAAUUAUCCUCAUUAUUAUCAAUUUAACUAUUACUUUAACUAUUAUUAUUUACUUUAAUUUUUGAAGUUGUUCCUUUUCUACCUCACCUUUUAUAAAUAUGUAUAAAUUUAAAAUCGUAAACAUCAUUAUUUCAUAUAGUUUAGUUUUAAACUGAUGACUCUUAGUUCUUGGUAAUAUGUAAAAAAGUUUGAAUUUUACUUUAAGGUGGCAAGGUGGUGAACCAGCAUGGCUUCAACUGUAUGAAUAUUUUAAGCUCUAAACGACAAACAUAUUGACCAACAACAUUUCAUGAAGCUAAGCGAAAAUAUCAAAAUGAUAAUCAGUGCACUUUAGGAACCUUUAUGGCGGAGAAGAAGUAAAGGAUGUUUUUUUUUCACCUGAUCAAAGUAUAAUGAAUUCUGUCGGGAUUUUAAAAGAAAACAUUUUUUUCUUUGCAUGCACAAGAAGUUCGGAAAGGCAUACUUAUGAUUGGAAGGCAAUUAAUGAUGUUGCCUCUAAAUUGCCUUUAAAAAACCCAGCAAAUUUUAAAGCAACAAACGAUAGACAUUUAGUGAGUGAUUAUAUUCAAUAGCUCAAACUGAGUGAAAAAGUUAAAGACUCUUUUUACAAACACAUGGGCCACUCUAAAAACACAAAUGAAAAUACUUAUCAAUUGCAACCAGGCAUUGUGUCUAUCCUUAACACUGGGUUAAAGCUUUUGAAUAAAGAUUUAGAUUAUGAAGGACCAAGUUGCUCUAAAUUAAACAUUAAUCAAGAUAAUAAAGAACCAAGUUGUUCUAAAUUAAACAUAAAUCAAGAUAAUAAAUAACCAAGUUGUUCUAAAUUAAACAUAAAUAAAGAUAAUGAAGAACAAAGUUGUUCCAAAUUAACAAUAAAUCAAGAUAAUGAUAAACCAAUUGUUCUAAAUUAAACAUAAAUCAAGAUUAUGAAGAUCCAAGUUGUUCUAAUUUAAAUAUAUAUCUAGAUGAAAAAAAAAAAAAUUACGAAAUUUAUCAUAAAUGUAUUUUGUGAAAAAAAGGAAAUGUAACUUAAUAAUUAAUAUAAUAUUUUAUUGUUUUUCUUUGUUUUAAUUUAAAUGGAAAAUAAAAUAACACUGUGCAUUCUUGUAAUAAAACAAUUUGCUAUCGUUUGAUUUUUAUUUAUUUAAUAUAAUUAAUAAAAAUUUAUAACAAGUUAAAUACGAGUACCAAUGCAACACAAUUGAUGACAGUUUAACCAUCCAGAUUUUCAUUUAUGCUUUACAAAUUUGUUUUUUAUAGAAACAAUGUCGAAUAUGUAAUUUGAUAACAAACUUUGUUACAUAGUUACAGUGCCGGAAUUGCUUUUGGUUUUUAUGGAACAAAGCGUUAUACGUGGGGUCUUACGUAUAAUGAGGCCCCACGUAUUAUAGGAAAAAAUCUCUAUUUUUUUUUUUUUGGAAUAGCAAUAUUAUUUAGAUGCUGAGAGAAGUUUUGUUUUAAUGUUUUGAAGAAUUUAUGAGAAAGGGAGCUGAGUAGGCAGGAAAAUAAUUAUUUGCUAGAUCGUUUGAGAAUACAAAAUGAACUGAUUAUGAUCAUAUAUCUUUGAACAUGCAUGCUUGAAAGAGAAAGCAUUUUCCGCAAUAUCGUCUAUUGCCCCCCUUUCCUCUCUUAUCUCAAGUUCUGUAGUCAGUUUCCAAUUUGACCAAAUACUGUAAAAAAUUUAUUUUGAAAAAAAUGUUGUUGGUGUUAUAGGUUUAAGAGGUUAUUGGUU
Hydra vulgaris (swiftwater hydra) is the source of this 1874-nucleotide long non-coding RNA. RefSeq lists it as uncharacterized. The record is from RefSeq and is a predicted model, not a curated record. Lineage: Eukaryota; Metazoa; Cnidaria; Hydrozoa; Anthoathecata; Hydridae.